This is a long non-coding RNA of Dermochelys coriacea (leatherback sea turtle), 102 nucleotides long. RefSeq lists it as uncharacterized. The transcript has 3 exons. Lineage: Eukaryota; Metazoa; Chordata; Testudines; Dermochelyidae. The record is from RefSeq and is a predicted model, not a curated record.
CUCCACCCCAGUAGGGCAGGGGGGCUUCCUCCCCAGAGGCAGAUCAGGGAAGAGCUGAGCUCCCAGCAGAGCGGGGCAUCUGCCGGAAGGCCCCUGGGCCAG